This 253-nucleotide ribosomal RNA is filed under the name uncultured bacterium. Its description in RNAcentral is "partial 16S ribosomal RNA". It matches the Rfam family "Bacterial small subunit ribosomal RNA", at positions 524 to 776 of the family's 1533-position model. The record is from RNAcentral.
UACGAGGGGUGCAAGCGUUGCUCGGAAUUAUUGGGCGUAAAGGGCAGGUAGGUGGUCUCAUUUGUCUGGGGUGAAAGCCUUGGGCUCAACUCAAGAAGUGCCCCGGAAACGGUGAGACUAGAGUACUGGAGAGGGUCGUGGAAUACCCGGUGUAGCGGUGAAAUGCGUAGAGAUCGGGUGGAACACCAGAGGCGAAGGCGGCGACCUGGACAGGUACUGACACUAAACUGCGAAAGCGUGGGGAGCAAACAGG